AGGUGCUUGGUACAACCAUGGA
RNAcentral lists this microRNA (22 nucleotides) under Gadus morhua (Atlantic cod). RNAcentral describes it as "gmo-miR-218b-5p". Its record names the gene gmo-miR-218b-5p. Lineage: Eukaryota; Metazoa; Chordata; Actinopteri; Gadiformes; Gadidae. The record is from miRBase by way of RNAcentral.